Molecule: small nucleolar RNA, 134 nt
Filed under: Castor canadensis (American beaver)
Lineage: Eukaryota; Metazoa; Chordata; Mammalia; Rodentia; Castoridae
Description: Small nucleolar RNA SNORA51 (ENSCCNG00000031807.1)
Rfam family: Small nucleolar RNA SNORA51
About the family: ACA51 is a member of the H/ACA class of snoRNA that guide the sites of modification of uridines to pseudouridines.
Source: Rfam by way of RNAcentral
GGCCUCCUGGUGCUUACCACAGGCUCUGUUCUUGCACUGACAGUACAGAUCAGGAAGAGGAAAAGUAAACCUACCCCAUAUAUACCUCAACCUGGGCCCUGUGCCUGGUCUGUAUUGUGAAUGGGAAGACGUGG